UAGGGAAUCUUCGGCAAUGGACGGAAGUCUGACCGAGCAACGCCGCGUGAGUGAAGAAGGUUUUCGGAUCCGUAAAGCUCUGUUGUAAGAGAAGAACGGGUGUGAGAGUGGAAAGUUCACACUGUGACGGUAUCUUACCAGAAAGGGACGGCUAACUACGUGCCAGCAGCCGCGGUAAUACGUAGGUCCCGAGCGUUGUCCGGAUUUAUUGGGCGUAAAGCGAGCGCAGGCGGUUAGAUAAGUCUGAAGUUAAAGGCUGUGGCUUAACCAUAGUACGCUUUGGAAACUGUUUAACUUGAGUGCAAGAGGGGAGAGUGGAAUUCCAUGUGUAGCGGUGAAAUGCGUAGAUAUAUGGAGGAACACCGGUGGCGAAAGCGGCUCUCUGGCUUGUAACUGACGCUGAGGCUCGAAAGCGUGGGGAGCAAACAGGAUUAGAUACCCUGGUAGUCCACGCCGUAAACGAUGAGUGCUAGGUGUUAGACCCUUUCCGGGGUUUAGUAGCGCAGCUAACGCAUUAAGCACUCCGCCUGGGGAGUACGAACGCAAGGUUG
Molecule: ribosomal RNA, 551 nt
Filed under: uncultured bacterium
Lineage: Bacteria
Description: bacterial SSU rRNA
Rfam family: Bacterial small subunit ribosomal RNA
Source: RNAcentral